CCGGAGCUUCCCUAGGGACAAGACCUGGGUGUCUCUGCAGUCUGCACCCUCGGGGGCCCCAGGAAGGACCCCCUUCUUCCCCACACCCUGCAGGCUCAGGGGGGUCUGCCGCCGCUGACUGGCCUCUCUCUGCUCCAGUAAGUUUUCAGGUUUUGGUCUUCCAGAGAAAAAGGAAAAUAUAACAAGGCAAAAGUCACUGCAAGACAGUAGGAGAAAAAGAAAAGCUGGUUCUUCCAGUCUGGUGAUUUGCGGGGAGGAGAAGGAAGAGUGAGUGAAAGAAAGAUCUCUUGACCUCCCUCACCGAGGGGAAGGGACAUCAUAAACAAAGAAAGAUAAAAGGCACAGAGCUUUGAUGAGUUCUUCUUUUAUAGUCUGUACAGAAGUUCUGUGUUGUACGGCUCCUCUCCAACAUGGAGAAGUGAAAUUGAAGAACGAUGGUAUAAGCUAAGCCCAAGUUAACAUUUCAGAGCUGCAUGACCCUGAGCUCCUGAGUGGAAAGGGCCUGACAAGUGUGUAGGGGGGUAAUUGAGCAGAGGAUGAUAAGACAAUUGAUGGACUGGUUGGAAAACUUAACAGGGAGAAGUGCUCUGACAGCAGUGAUGUGGCUCCAUAACUGAGGGCAACAGAGCAGCACUGACAUCGGGGAUAGUCUGCUUGUCACAGUCUGCUCUCUGGAGGCACCCACAGAACCAGAUAACUGAGGUGAGGCUAAGACCUCUGGCCAUGCCAAACAAAUGGACCACAGGAGCCUCUGAGGCAGACAGCAGCAAUAUCUAUCAGUAGGAAACCCAGAGACUGGACCAGAAGUACAUCUCAAAAGGCAUUGCAUAGCACUCACCCAGAAACCAGCUGCCCUGCUGAGGAAAGCACACCAAAAAGAGACAGAAGCCAGGUAGAACACCUCUACCAAUACAAAAAGGCUAAAAACUUUCUCAUCCUUUCAGCUGCCAUCUUGGUAAGGAGGCAAUAGCAAAAAGAAUGUCUUCAAGAAAUAUUUACAGCACAGAGACUGACCUAUAUAGAAAGAAGAGGGAUAUAUUCACAAUUAGUAGGUUAGGUCAACCUCUAUACCUCUGUUGGGUGAGGAUACUUGAGGAAGAUGAUCAUAGAAAAAUAAAGAUGUGUCCAUUCAUUCAUUUA
This is a non-coding RNA of Macaca mulatta (Rhesus monkey), 1140 nucleotides long. NCBI's taxonomy places the organism in Eukaryota, Metazoa, Chordata, Mammalia, Primates, Cercopithecidae. The record is from RefSeq and is a predicted model, not a curated record.